Danio rerio (zebrafish) is the source of this 115-nucleotide non-coding RNA. Lineage: Eukaryota; Metazoa; Chordata; Actinopteri; Cypriniformes; Danionidae. The record is from Rfam.
GCCGGCAGCUAGUUCUCUGCAUCUCUCACAUGGUCGCCCACUGAAGCUAAGGAGGGCUGCACCUGGUUAGUAUCUGGAUGGGAGACCACAUGGAAAAGCUAUGUUGCUGCUGGAA